UGCAGCAAUAACUAACACUGGGUUUUAACUCGAGAACGCUCUAGGUUCCUUUCUGCUCCAAUAGCAUUAUGUAACUCAUGCUAAGCCUCUCCUAAAGCUGCUACCACAGGAGCAGUGAAAAAGCCCAAGUACCAAAUUAGCCAGAGAUUUCUUAUAAGUUGACAGCUUUCUCAAGCCACAAAAUGCUUCGGGUACAGGUUUCCCUUCAGGAAAGUCAGACUCAUAUCCUUGGAAGGAAUUAAAAUGUUUGUCAAGCAGGCUCCUCCUCAUAAAAAAUGCCCGUCCCGACAUUUUCCAAGUCCUGCAGGGUCAGAAAUGAGGAGGCGGAAAGAGUCGAGAAAUCAGAGGUUUCCCAGCAAGGUCAAAGCAAGUGCCCUGACCCAGACAAUGGAGCUUGCUGUGGAGCUGUGGGUCCUGGAGACCCAGGCUUCAGCCCUGACUUCGACACUUUCCUCAGUGCCCACCUUUCAUCUGGAUGAUGCAGAGAAAGUCAACUAAAGCAGAUGCUGGCUGAGUCACAGCGUGAUGAAGCAUUGCUAACCCAAGACGUGAAUCGAGAGCACGUGGGGGAUACUGCUUUUAUGCUGAACUAGGAAGACAGCAGCCGCCAUCAAAGCCAGAAUCGAACAUAAAAUUUAACAAUCAAACACGACAAAAACAGUUUAAAAAUGGAUUUGUACUUUGUUUAUCAUCUGUUCCCCCAUGUUAGAAUGUUAGCUCUAUGAGAACAGAGCUUUCACUUCUGCUUCCUCUCCACUGUGUCUUCAGGACAACAAACACUGCC
RNAcentral lists this long non-coding RNA (784 nucleotides) under Equus caballus (horse). RNAcentral describes it as "lncRNA (ENSECAG00000042751.2)". Lineage: Eukaryota; Metazoa; Chordata; Mammalia; Perissodactyla; Equidae. The record is from RNAcentral.